UUGACUUCUGCUCCCAGAGC
RNAcentral lists this microRNA (20 nucleotides) under Eptesicus fuscus (big brown bat). Its description in RNAcentral is "efu-miR-9285". The record is from miRBase by way of RNAcentral. Lineage: Eukaryota; Metazoa; Chordata; Mammalia; Chiroptera; Vespertilionidae.